AGCAGCCGCGGUAAUUCCAGCUCCAAUAGCGUAUAUUAAAGUUGUUGCAGUUAAAAAGCUCGUAGUUGAAUUUCGGGGUCAGUAGGUUGGUCAUGCCACUGGUAUGUACUGGUCUCACUGAUUCCUCCUUCCUGAUGAACUGUAAUGCCAUUAAUUUGGUGUUGCAGGGAAUCUGGACUGUUACUUUGAAAAAAUUAGAGUGUUUAAAGCAGGCUAACGCCUGAAUACAUUAGCAUGGAAUAAUGAAAUAGGACGUUCGAUCCUAUUUUGUUGGUUUCUAGGAUUGACGUAAUGAUUAAUAGGGAUAGUUGGGGGCAUUAGUAUUCGAUUGUCAGAGGUGAAAUUCUUGGAUUUAUUGAAGACUAACUACUGCGAAAGCAUUUGCCAAGGAUGUUUUCAUUAAUCAAGAACGAAAGUUAGGGGAUCGAAGACGAUCAGAUACCGUCGUAGUCUUAACCAUAAACUAUGCCGACUAGGGAUCGGAUAAUGUUAAUUUUUAAUGA
This 503-nucleotide ribosomal RNA is filed under the name uncultured Glomus. RNAcentral's name for it is "SSU rRNA". It matches the Rfam family "Eukaryotic small subunit ribosomal RNA", at positions 569 to 1074 of the family's 1831-position model. The record is from RNAcentral. Lineage: Eukaryota; Fungi; Glomeromycota; Glomeromycetes; Glomerales; Glomeraceae.